Arachis duranensis is the source of this 723-nucleotide long non-coding RNA. RefSeq lists it as uncharacterized. NCBI's taxonomy places the organism in Eukaryota, Viridiplantae, Streptophyta, Magnoliopsida, Fabales, Fabaceae. The transcript has 2 exons. The record is from RefSeq and is a predicted model, not a curated record.
UAAAAAUCAGAAAACCUAACCUAAUUUCCUCCAACCCUCAACAGCUACCAGCCACACUUCCUUACCCCAACGGUCACACAACAUAGAGCAGAGAAAGAGAUUUACGGGAAGAAGAGAAAGAAGACGCCGCUGCUGUCGCGCUUGACUGCCGCCACCGUCGUCCUCAUCGCGCACCGCCACCAUCUUGCAGGUCGUCAUGCCAAGCCCGUUCCACCACCGUCAACACUGCCACGGAGAAGAGAAUACGACGUCGUAACGCGAGCCAAGGCCGAGAGGAAGGGGACGUCGCUGUGCCUCCAACGCGACCCUUCCGCCGCUGCCAUUGGUAGGGUUCUAUCGCCGCCGUCCAUGGAGCUUCGAUUAGCGCCGUUGUCAUCGCAUACCAGAGGAGAGGAGAGCUCAUGUGUGAAGAGUAGCGCCGCUGUGCCUCCGUUGCGCCUUUAUCACCAUCGAACUGCCUUGCUGUUGCUAGCCUCGUAGCCACUUUUAAGGCUGCGCCGCCGUGCCUCUGGUCGUGGGCGGAGUCCACUCCAAGCUGUCACCAUCGCAGAAUACAUGCCGAGGAGAGGGAGAAAUGAUCUUCGCCGCUGUCAGGGUCGUUGGUGAGUCGUGCACUGUCACCAGAGUCAAACAGCACCAACCUUCUUGUUCUGAUUCUGAUUCUCCUAUUCUUGAACCUGUGAUAGUGUUGGUGAUAAUAAAGAACUGUUAGAGUUGCUGCUA